RNAcentral lists this unclassified non-coding RNA (426 nucleotides) under Hevea brasiliensis (rubber tree). The record is from RNAcentral. Lineage: Eukaryota; Viridiplantae; Streptophyta; Magnoliopsida; Malpighiales; Euphorbiaceae.
GUCCGUUUGCACACAUGCAGAAAUGAACGAACAGAAGUUGGGAGUAAAUUGGUCAGCCGGAGCAGAAGGAGGUUCGCCUUCAACAAUGGCUUCCAUAAGCUCAUAAAAGUUCACCCAUCCUCCAUCUUGUUCUGGUGGAGAAUAAGGAAAUUUUCCAGUUGCACACUCGAGUAAUAUCAGGCCCAAGCUCCAAAUGUCACUUUUAUUGUCAUACCUCUCUCCCACAAUUCUCUCUGGAGACAUAUAGUUAUAUGUGCCAACAAAAGUAUUAGCCUCCCCAGAUGUGCUUGCCAUAAUCGCACUGACACCAAAGUCUGUAAUCUUGACUUCCCCUCUAUGGUUUAUUAAUAAAUUUGAAGGCUUUAAGUCCCUAUGGAUGAUGUGUCUUUCAUGGUGAAGGUACGACAACCCCUUCAGCACCUGCUU